This 433-nucleotide unclassified non-coding RNA is filed under the name soil metagenome. RNAcentral's name for it is "partial contains 5.8S ribosomal RNA, internal transcribed spacer 2, and large subunit ribosomal RNA". The stretch from base 1 to 120 matches the Rfam family "5.8S ribosomal RNA", at positions 35 to 154 of the family's 154-position model. The record is from RNAcentral.
GAUGAAGAACGUAGCGAAAUGCGAUACGUAAUGUGAAUUGCAGAAUUCAGUGAAUCAUCGAAUCUUUGAACGCAUAUUGCGCUCUCUGGUAUUCCGGAGAGCAUGCUUGUUUGAGUAUCAGUAAACACCUCAACUUCCAUAUCUUUUUUGAAAUGGGAGUUGGACUUGAGUGAUCCCAACGCUUUUCCUCACCGAAAAGUGGCGGGUUACUUGAAAUGCAGGUGCAGCUGGACUUUUCUCUGAGCUAUAAGCAUAUCUAUUUAGUCUGCCUAAAAAACAGAUUAUUACCUUUGCUGCAGCUAACAUAAAGGAGAUUAGUUCUUGUGCUGACUGAUGCAGGAUUAACAAAGACAGGCUUCGGCCGACUUUGUAAACUCGAUCUCAAAUCAAGUAAGACUACCCGCUGAACUUAAGCAUAUCAAUAAGCGGAGGA